This 85-nucleotide ribosomal RNA is filed under the name Larix laricina (tamarack). RNAcentral describes it as "partial 5.8S ribosomal RNA". It matches the Rfam family "5.8S ribosomal RNA", at positions 73 to 154 of the family's 154-position model. From Rfam's summary of the family: 5.8S ribosomal RNA (5.8S rRNA) is a component of the large subunit of the eukaryotic ribosome. It is transcribed by RNA polymerase I as part of the 45S precursor that also contains 18S and 28S rRNA. RNAcentral also lists the same sequence under 1 other name. Lineage: Eukaryota; Viridiplantae; Streptophyta; Pinopsida; Pinales; Pinaceae. The record is from RNAcentral.
UGCAGAAUCCCGUGAAUCAUCGAGUUUUUGAACGCAAUUUGCGCCCGAGACCUCGGUCGAGGGCACGUCUGUCUGGGCGUCGCAU